Long non-coding RNA from Ostrinia nubilalis (European corn borer), 920 nucleotides. RefSeq lists it as uncharacterized. The transcript has 3 exons. NCBI's taxonomy places the organism in Eukaryota, Metazoa, Arthropoda, Insecta, Lepidoptera, Crambidae. The record is from RefSeq and is a predicted model, not a curated record.
GAGUACAGUCUGUCUAUAAAGUCGUGACAUGAAUGUUUGAGGAACUAACAUUAUUCAUGUGUCUGGCAACACCAAAGAUCACCAAACAUAUGUACAUCAGCUGUCAUCGAGAACAAGUUGUGGAACGAUUUUCAUUUCGUGGUUUUUAUUGUUUGACUAAUCUCCUGUAAAUUAUUACUCAGCUACGAAGAAAAGUAUAAACAAUGAGUAAAGUAAAUUGGAGUGCCACGCGGAAAGUAAUUUUUAAAGUUUUCCAGCAAUGUUCCGCGGAGUACCAAGCUGGUCAAAUUUUGUGGGAUUUUGAUGUUUUUUAUGGGCGAACAGCAUCUUUGACGGGAAAAUCAGAGAGUACUGUUAAGCGCAUAGUCAAUGAAGGUUUUCAGAAUAAUGGAAAAUUUAGAACUCCUGGGAAACACAGGCAAGGCCGACCAAAGAAAGAAAUGGAUAAUUUUAAUAUUUGUGCUCUGCGCCAAAAAAUAUAAUUUUUUACACGGUACAAAAAGAGGUCACAAAAUGUUCGCAAUCUCUAAACAUCAAAGGCAUCACAAAAGACAUUUUCAAAGGAAAGCGUUACAUCAUAGUCCAUGCUGGAAGCGAAAAGGGGUUUGUGCCAAACUGCCUCCUCAUAUUCACUGGCAGAAAUAAUUUGGAAGACUACCAUUCAGAAAUGAAUGCGCAUAACUUCACGAAGUGCAUUAAAGAAAAACUAAUACCAAAUCUUCAUGAGCCUUCCAUUAUAUUUAUGGACCUGUACCAAGACAAUUGGUUAUUUGCUUAGGCGAUAAUAACAGCAGCGAAGAUGAUGAUGUGAAUGAUGACAGCGCUGCUUAUGAAAGUGGCAACGAAACUUUUCUUAACAUCGAAAAUUUGGAAUCCGAUGAUGAAAGUGAUUAAUAAAUGUCCUUAUUAACUAUGUAUAA